AGCUGUUCUGAGAGGAUGAUCAGCCACACUGGAACUGAGACACGGUCCAGACUCCUACGGGAGGCAGCAGUGGGGAAUAUUGCACAAUGGGGGAAACCUUGAUGCAGCCAUGCCGCGUGUGUGAAGAAGGCCCUAGGGUUGUAAAGCACUUUCAGUCAGGAGGAAAGGUUAGUAGUUAAUACCUAUUAGCUGUGACGUUACUGACAGAAGAAGGACCGGCUAACUCCGUGCCAGCAGCCGCGGUAAUACGGAGGGUCCGAGCGUUAAUCG
This 270-nucleotide ribosomal RNA is filed under the name Shewanella sp. OPT22. RNAcentral describes it as "partial 16S ribosomal RNA". It matches the Rfam family "Bacterial small subunit ribosomal RNA", at positions 285 to 547 of the family's 1533-position model. Lineage: Bacteria; Pseudomonadati; Pseudomonadota; Gammaproteobacteria; Alteromonadales; Shewanellaceae. The record is from RNAcentral.